UCGGGAAUUUUGGGCAAUGGGCGAAAGCCUGACCCAGCAACGCCGCGUGAAGGAUGAAGUCUUUCGGGAUGUAAACUUCGGAAAUAUAGGAAGAAUAAAUGACGGUACUAUAUCUAAGGUCCGGCUAACUACGUGCCAGCAGCCGCGGUAAUACGUAGGGACCAAGCGUUGUUCGGAUUUACUGGGCGUAAAGGGUACGUAGGCGGCGUUACAAGUCACUUGUGAAAUCUCCGGGCUUAACUCGGAACGGCCAAGUGAAACUGUAGUGCUAGAGUGCAGAAUGGGCAAGUGGAAUUCUUGGUGUAGCGGUGAAAUGCGUAGAUAUCAAGAGGAACACCCGAGGCGAAGGCGACUUGCUGGGCUGACACUGACGCUGAGGUACGAAAGCCAGGGGAGCGAACGGGAUUAGAUACCCCCGUAGUCC
RNAcentral lists this ribosomal RNA (424 nucleotides) under uncultured prokaryote. RNAcentral describes it as "bacterial SSU rRNA". It matches the Rfam family "Bacterial small subunit ribosomal RNA", at positions 355 to 796 of the family's 1533-position model. The record is from RNAcentral.